UACGAGUGCCCAAGCGUUAUCCGGAAUUAUUGGCGUAAAGGGUGUGUAGGUGGUUGUGUUAGUCUCAUGUCAAAUUCUUCGGCUUAACCGGGUACCGCAUGGGAUACGGCACAACUAGAGGAUGCGAGGGGUGAAUGGAACUCAUGGAGUAGGGUGAAAUCCGUUGAUAUCAUGGGAACACCAAAGCGAAGGCAGUUCACUGGCGCACUCCUGACACUGAACACGAAAGCGUGGGUAGCGAAUGGG
RNAcentral lists this ribosomal RNA (246 nucleotides) under uncultured bacterium. Its description in RNAcentral is "partial 16S ribosomal RNA". It matches the Rfam family "Bacterial small subunit ribosomal RNA", at positions 524 to 776 of the family's 1533-position model. The record is from RNAcentral.